UACGAAGGGUGCAAACGUUGCUCGGAAUCAUUGGGCGUAAAGCGCACGUAGGCGGCUUCGCAAGUCGGAUGUGAAAUCCCUAGGCUCAACCAAGGACGUGCAUCCGAAACUGCAAGGCUUGAGUACAGAAGAGGAUCGCGGAAUUCCCGGUGUAGAGGUGAAAUUCGUAGAUAUCGGGAGGAACACCAGUGGCGAAGGCGGCGAUCUGGGCUGAUACUGACGCUGAGGUGCGAAAGCGUGGGGAGCAAACAGG
Molecule: ribosomal RNA, 253 nt
Filed under: uncultured bacterium
Lineage: Bacteria
Description: partial 16S ribosomal RNA
Rfam family: Bacterial small subunit ribosomal RNA
Source: RNAcentral